Molecule: ribosomal RNA, 253 nt
Filed under: uncultured bacterium
Lineage: Bacteria
Description: partial 16S ribosomal RNA
Rfam family: Bacterial small subunit ribosomal RNA
Source: RNAcentral
UACGAGGGGGGCGAGCGUUGUUCGGAAUUAUUGGGCGUAAAGGGUGCGUAGGCGGCCUGACAAGUCUGAUGUGAAAUCCCUGGGCUCAACCCAGGGCCUGCAUCGGAAACUGUCGGGCUUGAGUAUGGGAGAGGGAUGCGGAAUUCCAGGUGUAGCGGUGAAAUGCGUAGAUAUCUGGAGGAACACCGGUGGCGAAGGCGGCAUCCUGGACCGGCACUGACGCUGAGGAGCGAAAGCCAGGGGAGCAAACGGG